This 224-nucleotide ribosomal RNA is filed under the name uncultured archaeon. RNAcentral's name for it is "partial 16S ribosomal RNA". It matches the Rfam family "Archaeal small subunit ribosomal RNA", at positions 503 to 725 of the family's 1478-position model. The record is from RNAcentral.
AUUGGGCCUAAAGCGUCCGUAGCUGGCCGCACAAGUCCGUCGGGAAAUCCGCCCGCUCAACGGGCGGCCGUCCGGCGGAACCUGUGUGGCUUGGGACCGGGAGGCCUGAGGGGUACGAUCGGGGUAGGAGUGAAAUCCUGUAAUCCCGCUCGGACCGCCGAUGGGGAAACCACCUCAGGAGAACGGAUCCGACAGUGAGGGACGAAAGCCAGGGUCGUCGAACC